This 390-nucleotide ribosomal RNA is filed under the name uncultured bacterium. RNAcentral describes it as "bacterial SSU rRNA". It matches the Rfam family "Bacterial small subunit ribosomal RNA", at positions 28 to 420 of the family's 1533-position model. The record is from RNAcentral.
GACGAACGCUGGCGGCGUGCUUAACACAUGCAAGUCGAGCGGUAAGGCCCUUUCGGGGGUACACGAGCGGCGAACGGGUGAGUAACACGUGGGUGACCUGCCCUUAGCUCUGGGAUAAGCCUGGGAAACUGGGUCUAAUACCGGAUAUGACUCCAUGACGCAUGUUGUGGGGUGGAAAGCCUUGUGCGGCUAGGGAUGGGCCCGCGGCCCAUCAGCUUGUUGGUGGGGUGAUGGCCUACCAAGGCGACGACGGGUAGCCGGCCUGAGAGGGCGACCGGCCACACUGGGACUGAGACACGGCCCAGACUCCUACGGGAGGCAGCAGUGGGGAAUCUUGCGCAAUGGGCGAAAGCCUGACGCAGCGACGCCGCGUGGGGAUGACGGCCUCGG